AUAUAUAUCAACCACUUCUUGUCGAGUGGCUUGGAUGUGGGGGGUUUGCUGGCCUUGUUGAAGGGUCAGCUCCCCUGAAAUUCAUUAGCAGAACCAACCUGUUCAAUGGUGUGAUAACUAUCUACGCUAUUUGAAAGGGUAAGGCAGUUCAGCUUCUUAACCGUCCUUUUGGACAAAUUUAUCACUU
RNAcentral lists this unclassified non-coding RNA (187 nucleotides) under uncultured Cortinarius. Its description in RNAcentral is "sequence contains ITS2". Lineage: Eukaryota; Fungi; Basidiomycota; Agaricomycetes; Agaricales; Cortinariaceae. The record is from RNAcentral.